GUCGUUGUUUUUGGUGGUUGUGGGCAGUUCGGGUCGGGAGAUCCUGGAUAGCAGACAGGUUUAGGUGUUGUGGGCUUAGGACAUCUAGGGUCUUGGCUACCUGGGAAGCAAUUUGGUGGGGCUGGUGUGGUAGGCUUAGGGCAUCUAGGAUCAGUGGAUCCAGGGUAACAGUUAGGAGGGGCAGGGCUAGUAGGUCUUGGGCAUCGUGGAUCGUUACUUCCAGGAUAGCAUUUUGGCUGUCCAGUAGUUGAUGGGGGUAAGUAAGUGGGGGGUGAAGAUGUGGUGGGCCUUGGCGGUUGAGGGCAGUUAGGGUCAGGGGAUCCAGGGUAGCAUACUGGUUUUUGUGUAGUAGGUUUGGGGCAACGAGGAUCGGUUGAUCCUGGGAAGCAAUUUGGUGGAGCAGGAGUUGUGGGUUUUGGACAUCUAGGGUCUGUGCUUCCAGGGUAGCAGUUAGGGGGCGCUGGUGUAGUUGG
Cydia strobilella is the source of this 473-nucleotide long non-coding RNA. RefSeq lists it as uncharacterized. The transcript is spliced from 5 exons. The record is from RefSeq and is a predicted model, not a curated record. Lineage: Eukaryota; Metazoa; Arthropoda; Insecta; Lepidoptera; Tortricidae.